This 467-nucleotide ribosomal RNA is filed under the name uncultured bacterium. RNAcentral's name for it is "partial 16S ribosomal RNA". It matches the Rfam family "Bacterial small subunit ribosomal RNA", at positions 28 to 507 of the family's 1533-position model. The record is from RNAcentral.
GACGAACGCUGGCGGCGUGCUUAACACAUGCAAGUCGAACGGAAAGGCCCUGCUUUUGUGGGGUGCUCGAGUGGCGAACGGGUGAGUAACACGUGAGUAACCUGCCCUUGACUUUGGGAUAACUUCAGGAAACUGGGGCUAAUACCGGAUAGGAGCUCCUGCUGCAUGGUGGGGGUUGGAAAGUUUCGGCGGUUGGGGAUGGACUCGCGGCUUAUCAGCUUGUUGGUGGGGUAGUGGCUUACCAAGGCUUUGACGGGUAGCCGGCCUGAGAGGGUGCCCGGCCCCAUGGGGCUGGAGAUCCGCCCCAGCCCCCUCCGGGGGGCACCGGUGGGGAUUAUUGCACAUUGGCGGAAGCCUGAUGCAGCAACGCCGCGUGCGGGAUGACGGCCUUCGGGUUGUAAACCGCUUUCGCCUGUGACGAAGCGUGAGUGACGGUAAUGGGUAAAGAAGCACCGGCUAACUACGUG